AUAGAAUAUGGGAAAAGUAAUCAUUUGGAAAUUUUUUCUCCCUUGUUUACUAGUUCACAGGAUUUGCCAUUAACUUCAUUCUCAAAUCACAAUGUGACACAGUGUGGUAUCUUUUGGGGUGGAGGGUCAAUUCUAAAGUUAGCAUGGAACAGAAAUCGUGUAAAAUAAUACUUAAAUCACCAUAGUACAGCAUGCUUUUGAGUAAACAACACUGAAUAGUAAUAAUUCUGUAAAUGUAUGAUUACAGAUUAGGGGAGUAGGCAUGAUUCAUUUCCGUGCUGCUGUUGCUUUCUUUUUUUUCUCUCAUGAUAUGGAGUUUUAUUUUCUACUGAUGUGGAAUUUAUACCUUUGAUUCAACAUACAGACCCUUUCUUCAGUUGGGUGUUACAGAGUUUUAGCUAGUGUGACAAUUUUUUCCCCCAUUAAAAAGUUUAGAAACAUCUUACCUUGCUACAAAGAAAUCCAAAGUUGUGGUGGCA
RNAcentral lists this long non-coding RNA (479 nucleotides) under Bos taurus (domestic cattle). Its description in RNAcentral is "long non-coding RNA NONBTAT009711". The record is from RNAcentral. Lineage: Eukaryota; Metazoa; Chordata; Mammalia; Artiodactyla; Bovidae.